RNA transcript from Betta splendens (Siamese fighting fish), 2313 nucleotides. It is a transcript of the gene named ADP-ribosylation factor-like 14 effector protein, with no coding region annotated. Lineage: Eukaryota; Metazoa; Chordata; Actinopteri; Anabantiformes; Osphronemidae. The record is from RefSeq and is a predicted model, not a curated record. The transcript has 6 exons.
ACAGGUACAAGAUGUGUAUUUAGACUUUUGUUAACUAAAUACACCUUGAAGCUGUGGACUCCUUAUAGACAAACUCUGGGUGAAAAUGUAGAACAGGAAAUUAUGUCAUCGCCCCUUUAACGUUGAUGUUUUGGGGACAAUUACUUUCAUAAGUGGAACCAUGUAGAACUAUCUCACUCUCUAUCCACACAUUUACAGUAUAUGCUAACAAUAAUAUAAUAUACACUAUGUAUAUAUGGGUUAUUACAACAACAGGUUAAUUCAUAGCAGCAACAUGUCCACAUCUAUCAAAAAUGUAAAGCAUCAAAAUAAAAAAAAGUCAUAUUUUCAAAACGCAGUCAUAAUGUGGUGGUUGUAAAAUGUGGACUACAAAGCACAUUCCAGACUGAUGUGGAUCAUAAAUAGCAGAGAAAAAUAAAAACGGUGGUUUGUUUUUUAUUUGAACACAUAUUUUCCAUAUUUUCUUAGGAAAUGAUUCCACGGGCCGUCGCUAGAGGGCGACGUCCAUCAAGUCACAAGAGGAAGUUGAAGCGGAUGUUCGUUUUCAUCGAAGAAGAGCAACGAAAACAAUCUCAUGCUACUUGUGCACAUCUUUCUCCCGUUCGUCUCUUUUUUUGUUUGCUCAUUGUUUUUUUCAGGGGAACAUCAUGCCCGUUAUUUGUGCAGCAACCGGGUGCAACAACAAGUUUGUCAAAGGGUCGGAAAUAAGAUUUUACAGGUUCCCACUCAGCAAACCUCAACUUGCAACUAAAUGGGUUCACAGUCUUGGGAUGAAGAACUUCGUCCCAACUGCCAACACGUGUCUCUGCUCGGAGCAUUUCAGGCCCGACUGCUUCAGAGACUACAACGGCAAACAGUUCCUGAGGGAGGACGCGGUGCCCACUAUAUUCGCCCAAGGACACGAUUCAUCCAAGAUCGAACUUCGCAAACGAGGGGUGGUACCGAAGGAGACCAACGUGGCCAAUCAGAUGGGAACGCAAGCAGACAAGGAGAGAGACGCACGCAGAGACAAACGGGGCGGAUUCAGGGGAGGACGAGGAGGACGUGGAGGAAAGCAGGUGACUGACAGGCAGAAUCUUGGAGCCAAAAGCCGAGUGUACGACAGCAAAGGCCGACUGCUGUCCAACGGCAAAGACAUGUGUGACUGUCUGGAUGUGGACUGUACGGGCUGCUUCUACCCCUGCCCCGACUGCGGCUCACGCAAGUGCGGGGUCGAGUGCCGCUGUGACCGGAAGUGGCUUUAUGAGCAGGUGGAAGUGGAGGGUGGAGAAAUCAUCCGAAACAAGUUUGCUGUGUAGUCAGCAGACGCAGCCGCAGCCGCAGCCGCAGCCGCCUUAAGGCUCAGCGUCUUGGCCUCAGAGAGCCUGUGGAGCGCCUAACGUCAGAGGACCACAGGCUGGACAUAAUAGAGGGGCCGUACGCACCGGAGCCAGCAGCAUGACACAGCACUUCAUCACAGCGGCUAAAGCAAGACUGUUCACACAUUAAAGCCUCAUUCAUACACAUCUCCGCUGUCCUUGAGCUCAGCGGGGGGUCGAGUGUCACGUGGUGAAGAGCUGCUUUACCACCCGUCUGGAGCUGGUGGGCGUUUUAAAGUGAGCAGCCGGCUACGCGUGACAUCCCAGAAUGUAGAUGUGCUGUUCACGGCUACAUCUGAAUGAAUGUUAAAAUUCACAGAGCAGAGACUGAGCAGAUGCAAACUGAGGGUUACUUAAUGUUUAUUCAUGUCGCACAUUAGUCACGCUUCCAGUUUAUUACGUUAGGAGGGGUUCCUUUCUACCUGUGUGGGACUCGUCCCCUCUGGGACCACAGAACUUUCACCAUUUGGCUCAGAAACGUUCUUUCCCACCUCCUACCAGAUGCUCCUGUCUGAACCCAACCAGCAGACCUCCACCCACACACCUGUUAGCACGUCCUCAUUAGCUCCACCACACACAGGUCCACUGCACUCAGCAGAACCGGGUCGACUAUAGGAACGGAUUACUGCGACCAAACACCGGCCAUGCAAAUCAUGACAAGCUUGAUUAGUGCAGGCUAAUAAACAGGCAGCUGAUGGCGGUAAACACUGAACCUGCUGGGCAGUAGCUCAAAGCUGCUGUAGCCUCGUUUAUAGGAUCCAUCAUCCGUUGGCUCUCAUAGAACAGCCCAGUGGGAGUGAAAGGCAGCAGCUCAGGCUCAGCUUGUUCUACAUCAGCAUACGAAGUUAAGACAGGCCACAGCACACGUACAACACAUGCAGGAGACCGUUUAGGACCCUCCAUCCUUCAAACAGUGCUUUUCACAGCUCUUAAUAAAAGAUGUGUUUGGGACAGA